This 337-nucleotide unclassified non-coding RNA is filed under the name Hevea brasiliensis (rubber tree). Lineage: Eukaryota; Viridiplantae; Streptophyta; Magnoliopsida; Malpighiales; Euphorbiaceae. The record is from RNAcentral.
CCUCCAGAUCUGUAAAUUUCAAGCUAUCCGACACCACCAAGCUCGAUUCGUUACUCGAGCAGUGAGAAGAUGUGGAACUACCAGAGCAUAAAUCUCCGUCGAGAAAACCGACGGAAUUGGAAGAAGUUGCCGGUGAAAUGUUCUUAUCGCGGGAUAAGUUGAAAAAACGGUGGUCCUGAAGCUCAAAACGCAGUGAAGGUAAAUUCAAUUCUUGAAAACUAAAAUCGAAAUCAAUUUUCUUUUUCUUUGAGAAAGCUGUGGUUGAAGAUUCAAUGGCUUCAAUUCCUUCCCCUCUUUGCUUACAAUUCCCCGCAAAAUCCUCCAUUUCUCUCUCUCU